Molecule: ribosomal RNA, 441 nt
Filed under: uncultured bacterium
Lineage: Bacteria
Description: partial 16S ribosomal RNA
Rfam family: Bacterial small subunit ribosomal RNA
Source: RNAcentral
CCUACGGGUGGCAGCAGUGGGGAAUAUUGCACAAUGGGGGAAACGCUGAUGCAGCAACGCCGCGUGAGGGAAGACGGUUUUCGGAUUGUAAACUUCUGUUCUUGCUGAAGAAUAAUGACGGUAGCUAAGGAGCAAGCAACGGCUAACUACGUGCCAGCAGCCUCGGUAAUACGUAGGGGGCAAGCUUUGUCCGGAAGUACUGGGUGUAAAGGGAGCGCAGGCGGGAAGCCAAGUCAGCUGUGAAAACUACGGGCUUAACUUGUAGACUGCAGUUGAAACUGGUUUUCUUGAGUGAAGUAGAGGUUGGCGGAAUUCGGGGUGUAGCGGUGAAAUGCGGAGAUAUUCGGAGGAACACCGGUGGCGAAGGCGGCCAACCGGGCUUUAACUGACGCUGAGGCUCGAAAGUGUGGGGAGCAAACAGGAUUAGAUACCCGAGUAGUC